GAAGGUUAGGGGCAAAACGGGAAUUUCACAAAUGUUCAAGAAAAUUCUUGAAAGGGCCAAGUUGGCCGUGUAAGGGUGUGUGUAUGUGGGUCCCAUUAUUUUAUGACCAUGUGAUCAUAUAUAUGGACCAAGGCUUAUAAGGCAAGAUAUUAGUCAUCUUUUAAUUUAAAAAAAAUUCAAGAAAAAGGAAGAAAAUUCUAGAAAAAGAAAGAAGGGGGCAUGUGGUCUAUUAGUAUGAGUAAUGUAUAUAUAUAUGGGAGAGAUGAUAAAAGACUCAUUAGUCAUCCUUUACAACUCUAGAAAGUGGGAGAAACAUGAAAAAAAAAGACAAGCAUAUUCGGCCGUGGUUGGCCGAAUUGAGGUUCAAGGAAAGGGACCAAAAAAAUUAAUUCUUCUAGUUUCUCUACCAAUUGGAUCAUCCUCUUUAACAUGGGAGAGUUGUUGGAGUAAGAAAAUUACUCAUUUUUGCAAAAACAAAAUACCUUGGCCGAAAGUUGAAGGAUAAGUGGAAAAGACUAGCGAUAGCGAGCUUGGACGAUUAAGCGUAGCUAAUAGGACGUGGAACAGGUAUGUAAGGCUCGUCCCUUUUCUUUCAAGGCAUGAAUCCGAUGCUAUGAAUUCAUAAUUGCUCCCAUAUUUUCCUUGUUUUCCAAAGUUAGAAGUCUAUGAUUCUAAUGCAUGAUUUUCUUUUUUAUAACCCAUAAAUGUUUUCCAAAAUGUCUACACUUUUCCAAAACAAAGGUUCAUGAUUUGUAAGCUUUCAUGACUACAACCACGGACAUAAUUUUGUAAUGAACACGAUGUUGUCAAAGACGAAAAUAUGUCUAUGAUGAUUAUGAUGAGAAUGGUUUCAUGUUUGAAAGUCUCAAGGUAUGGGCCCAAUACGAAUAUGAGAAUAUUGAGCUAGUUCUUGAUCCUUAAUUUUAUUCCUUAAUUAUGACGCCAUUUUCUAAAGACUUCAAAGUGUAUGAAUUGACGCCUUAUGAGGUUUAUGAUCUUAUUAUAUGUUUUCUCUUCAUGCUGUUCUUUAUUGAUAGUCUCGCCUUAUAAUAUUAGUUCCUUCAAGGUGAGACAAAGCCAUGACGAUUAUUCCAUAAUAUAAUCGGAGGUUACCGACCUUACGUCACUCUGAUGGGUACAUGACUUUCCUUGGGCUCUCCUGCAUGCUGCUAUAUGAUAUGUAUAUAUAUGUAUAUGGGGAAGAUGGGAAAAGGGCCAGGCGCUAUAGACGCACAGCCACCUGAUCAGUUGGAGUAUGAUAUCGUCCCAGACGCGGGAUAUGUGGUUAAAUGGAUCGGAGCCGACGCCUCGGCAAUAUGAUAUGUUCUAUUUUCUAUAUAUAUGAAAAAGAAAUGUUUUCAAAUGGAUCGGGCUGCACGUUCCGCAGCAAUAUGUGUAUAUGGAUCGGGCUGCACGUUCCGCAGCAAUAUAUGUAUAUAUGGACCGGGCUGCACGUUCCGCAGCACUAAGCAUGCAGGGUAUCCGCCUAAGCGGCACUCAUAUGUACAGGUUACUCUUUUACUUCAUGAUAUGUUCUGUAUUUCCAUUAUGUUAUUAUUCACAUUUAUAUUCCUUACUGUAUUACUAUACAUGCCUUGCAUACUCAGUACAUUGCUCGUACUGACCCCUUUUUCUUUGGGGGCUGCGUUUCAUGCCGCGCAGGUACAUCCAGAUGAGUAGAACCUAUUACAGAAGAGGUUCCAGCAGAGUUGGCAAGCUCCAUUUGGCCCUGGAGUGUUGCCGAGUCAGAGCUGGUAUGCUAGGAUUUCUGGGUUGAUGUUAGAGACUUUGCAGACAAAGUCGUGGGUGUAAUGUGUCAGUCUUGAAAGAGGCUUCACCAACCGAUGUGUCAUUCGUGUUAUGAUAUAAGUUUCAUAUAAUUAAAGAUUUUGUUUGAAUCGAGUACAAAAAAAAAGGGAAUUCUGAAAGCUUAGCUAUGUUUUCAUAUCUUAUUAAUGUAAGAGUCUAAAGAGAUUAAGUAUGUAAUAAGAGUCAGCGGGUUCGCUCGGCUCCGAAUAUGGGGUCGGGUGCCCAUCACACCCUAGUAAGGUCGGGGUGUGACAUGACAGUUAUGAACAUAAAUAUUCUCGAGUAAGAAAAUCAGGGAGACUAUUAUCUGA
Long non-coding RNA from Lycium barbarum (goji berry), 2120 nucleotides. RefSeq lists it as uncharacterized. The transcript has 2 exons. The record is from RefSeq and is a predicted model, not a curated record. Lineage: Eukaryota; Viridiplantae; Streptophyta; Magnoliopsida; Solanales; Solanaceae.